UACGUAGGGUGCGAGCGUUGUCCGGAAUUAUUGGGCGUAAAGAGCUUGUAGGCGGUUUGUCGCGUCUGCUGUGAAAUUUCGGGGCUCAACCCCCGAACUUGCAGUGGGUACGGGCAGACUAGAGUGUGGUAGGGGAGACUGGAAUUCCUGGUGUAGCGGUGAAAUGCGCAGAUAUCAGGAGGAACACCGAUGGCGAAGGCAGGUCUCUGGGCCAGCUACUGACGCUGAGAAGCGAAAGCAUGGGGAGCGAAGCAGG
RNAcentral lists this ribosomal RNA (256 nucleotides) under uncultured bacterium. RNAcentral's name for it is "partial 16S ribosomal RNA". It matches the Rfam family "Bacterial small subunit ribosomal RNA", at positions 524 to 777 of the family's 1533-position model. The record is from RNAcentral.